RNAcentral lists this ribosomal RNA (322 nucleotides) under uncultured eukaryote. RNAcentral's name for it is "partial 18S ribosomal RNA". It matches the Rfam family "Eukaryotic small subunit ribosomal RNA", at positions 1470 to 1796 of the family's 1831-position model. The record is from RNAcentral.
CCCUUAGAUGUUCUGGGCCGCACGCGCGCUACACUGAUGCAUUCAACGAGUGUACCUUGGCCGAGAGGCCUGGGCAAUCUUUUGAACGUGCAUCGUGAUAGGGAUAGAUUAUUGCAAUUAUUAAUCUUGAACGAGGAAUUCCUAGUAAACGCAGAUCAUCAAUCUGCAUUGAUUACGUCCCUGCCCUUUGUACACACCGCCCGUCGCACCUACCGAUUGGAUAGUCCGGUGAAGCCUCGGGAUUGUGGCGGUUGCCUUUAUUGGUGGCCGCCGCGAGAACUUGUCUAAACCUUAUCAUCUAGAGGAAGGUGAAGUCGUAACA